Molecule: ribosomal RNA, 266 nt
Filed under: uncultured archaeon
Lineage: Archaea
Description: partial 16S ribosomal RNA
Rfam family: Archaeal small subunit ribosomal RNA
Source: RNAcentral
ACACGACUACAUUAGAUACCCCGGUAGUCCUAGCCGUAAACGAUACUCGCUAGGUGUCGGCCACGGUGCGACCGUUGUCGGUGCCGUAGGGAAGCCGUGAAGCGAGCCACCUGGGAAGUACGGCCGCAAGGCUGAAACUUAAAGGAAUUGGCGGGGGAGCACAACAACGGGUGGAGCUUGCGGUUUAAUUGGAUUCAACGCCGGAAAUCUUACCGGGACCGACAGCAACAUGAAGGCCAAGCUGAAGACUUUUGCCGGAUUAGCUG